ACUCAAAUGAAUUGACGGGGGCCCGCACAAGCGGUGGAACAUGUGGUUUAAUUCGACAUUACGCGAGGAACCUUACCUAGGUUUGACAUGCAUUUGACAGCUCUAGAAACAGAGUCUUUCGGGCUUCGGUCCGAACAGGUGCACAGGUGCUGCAUGGCUGUCGUCAGCUCGUGUCGUGAGAUGUUGGGUUAAGUCCUUUAACGAGCGCAACUCCUGUCGUCAGUUGCCACUGCGUGAGCAAGCACUCUGGCGAGACUGCCUGGGAAACCAGGAGGAAGGUGGGAAUGACGUCAAGUCAUCAUGGUCCUUAUACCUAGGGCAACACACGUGUUACAAUGGCUAAUACAAAGAGCAGCAAGCUCGUAAGAGUAAGCUAAUCUCAUAAAAUUAGUCUAAGUUCAGAUUGGGGUCUGCAACUCGACCCCAUGAAGUUGAAAUCGCUAGUAAUCGCGCAUCAGAACGGCGCGGUGAAUACGUUCUCGGGCCUUGUACACACCGCCCGU
RNAcentral lists this ribosomal RNA (503 nucleotides) under uncultured bacterium. RNAcentral's name for it is "partial 16S ribosomal RNA". It matches the Rfam family "Bacterial small subunit ribosomal RNA", at positions 899 to 1397 of the family's 1533-position model. The record is from RNAcentral.